This 464-nucleotide ribosomal RNA is filed under the name uncultured bacterium. RNAcentral's name for it is "partial 16S ribosomal RNA". It matches the Rfam family "Bacterial small subunit ribosomal RNA", at positions 339 to 795 of the family's 1533-position model. The record is from RNAcentral.
CUACGGGGUGCUGCAGUGGGGAAUAUUGGACAAUGGGGGAAACCCUGAUCCAGCAAUGCCGCGUGUGUGAAGAAGGCCUGCGGGUUGUAAAGCACUUUCGGUUGGGAGGACUGCUUCUAGCACUAAUAUUGUUGGAAGUUGACGUUACCUUCAGAAGAAGCACCGGCUAACUCCGUGCCAGCAGCCGCGGUAAUACGGGGGUGCAAGCGUUAAUCGGAAUUACUGGGCGUAAAGCGCGCGUGGGCGGCUAGAUCAGUCGGGUGUGAAAGCCCCGGGCUUAACCUGGGAACUGCAUCCGAUACUGUCGAGCUUGAGUACAGGAGAGGAGAGUGGAAUUCCACAUGUAGCGGUGAAAUGCGUAGAUAUGUGGAGGAACACCAAUGGCGAAGGCAGCUCUCUGGCCUGAUACUGACGCUGAGGUGCGAAAGAGUGGGGAGCAAACAGGAUUAGAUACCCGGGUAGUC